This 68-nucleotide transfer RNA is filed under the name Marmota monax (woodchuck). Its description in RNAcentral is "tRNA.Ala". The record is from RNAcentral. Lineage: Eukaryota; Metazoa; Chordata; Mammalia; Rodentia; Sciuridae.
GGCUUGUGGCUCAGUGGUGGAAUUCUUGCCUAGCAUGCACGAGGCACUGGGUUGGAUCCUCAGCACCA